Molecule: RNA transcript, 1300 nt
Organism: Rosa rugosa (rugosa rose)
Lineage: Eukaryota; Viridiplantae; Streptophyta; Magnoliopsida; Rosales; Rosaceae
Gene name: putative GTP diphosphokinase RSH1, chloroplastic
Exons: 6
Source: RefSeq, a predicted model, not a curated record
CUCCGUCUCCGUGAAUUGAACAUCCAGAGUUGUCAGGGAUUAUCAAGCCUAGAAUUGGGCUCGAUAACUGCACCUCUCUUCAGCACUUGUGCAUAAGGGAUUGCCCUAAUCUGAUAUCAAUUCCAAUCACGCAGUGCAUGCCGUCUCUCUGGAGAUUGGAUAUCAUCAGAUCGUGUGAGAGAUUAUCAAGCCUAGUUGGGCUCGACUACUGCAACUCUCUUAAGCAAUUGUAGGAUUCCACUUUCUUUCCAAAUUAGGGAUUUAGGUUUUCUUCUUUGUCUGAUGAAGGAAGGACUGAUGAAGGAGAUGCAGAGGUCGAAGGAGGGACUGAUGAAGAAGAUGCAGAGGAAGAAGACGGAGGUGAGGUUUCAAAGUUGGGAAAGUUGAAAUGUAGGGAUGAACAUGAUUCUGUACAAGAUGUAAAAGCAGAUGACCUACGGCAGAUGCUUCUAGCCAUGACAGAGGAGUAUUUAUAAAUCUGUUCUCAAAUCUAAAGGUUCAAUUAAUGAGGUCAAUCAAUAUUUGUUCUGCUAUUUGCCUUUAACACCUUAUACUUUCAUGUUUAUACACUGGGAAUUUUGUUCUAGAUACUGCAUGCUUGACCAUGCUUAGAUGUUUCAUCUAGUUUCUCAAUGAAUUUUGUUCCAGGGGUUGGCUGUUGUUGCAAUAUUGAGGCACUUUAGAUACCCUUGCAGGUUCAUUUAGCACCUGGACGCAAAUUUAAUUUUCAAAAAUAUAACAAAAGAUCAUUAGAAGAUGACUUUAAGGUGGUUGUGGGAAUCAUGUGCUAUUGCCAACCUUUUCUUUCUUCAUGUUCUGGACUACGAUGACGCUCUAUUUGCUACUCAAUAUGGUUUCAACAAUGAAGAAGUCGAUCUUUGAUGAACAAACUAACAAGGCCUUAAGGAAAUUGCAAAAGAAUGCUCAAAAGAAGAGAAGGCAUCAUGAUGUGGUUCGAGCUGAAUGGGCAAAUCAUGUUAUACAGUUCGAAUUUUGGUUCUGUUUAAGGUAGAUGAGUAGCACUUGGAACUGCUUUUGUGCAUUCAUAUAUAACUGAUGGAAAGUGUUGAUGAACUUAAAUUAUGCAUGCAGUUGCUCUGUCUAGCUACUCUUUCUUUACCUUAUAGGUUUUUGACUUGGUGCACUAGGUAAAUGAUCGAGAUAAGAUGGUUUUUUGGUUCUCUUGAUCAUAAUGUAACUGUUGGCUAGGUUUAGAGUUGGAACUAUGGAUUGUAUUUUGGAUGAUGUUGAUGCAAUUAAUGAAACGAAGCCAUCAUUUUCAAUGCUGAUUUUAGUCCAA